UAGAGUUUGAUCCUGGCUCAGAUUGAACGCUGGCGGCAUGCCUUACACAUGCAAGUCGAACGGCAGCAUGAUCUAGCUUGCUAGAUUGAUGGCGAGUGGCGAACGGGUGAGUAAUACAUCGGAACGUGCCCUGUAGUGGGGGAUAACUAGUCGAAAGAUUAGCUAAUACCGCAUACGACCUGAGGGUGAAAGUGGGGGACCGCAAGGCCUCAUGCUAUAGGAGCGGCCGAUGUCUGAUUAGCUAGUUGGUGGGGUAAAGGCCCACCAAGGCGACGAUCAGUAGCUGGUCUGAGAGGACGAUCAGCCACACUGGGACUGAGACACGGCCCAGACUCCUACGGGAGGCAGCAGUGGGGAAUUUUGGACAAUGGGCGAAAGCCUGAUCCAGCAAUGCCGCGUGUGUGAAGAAGGCCUUCGGGUUGUAAAGCACUUUUGUCCGGAAAGAAAUGGCUCUGGUUAAUACCUGGGGUCGAUGACGGUACCGGAAGAAUAAGGACCGGCUAACUACGUGCCAGCAGCCGCGGUAAUACGUAGGGUCCAAGCGUUAAUCGGAAUUACUGGGCGUAAAGCGUGCGCAGGCGGUUGUGCAAGACCGAUGUGAAAUCCCCGAGCUUAACUUGGGAAUUGCAUUGGUGACUGCACGGCUAGAGUGUGUCAGAGGGGGGUAGAAUUCCACGUGUAGCAGUGAAAUGCGUAGAGAUGUGGAGGAAUACCGAUGGCGAAGGCAGCCCCCNNNGAUAACACUGACGCUCAUGCACGAAAGCGUGGGGNNNAA
This 775-nucleotide ribosomal RNA is filed under the name bacterium enrichment culture clone 2-50. RNAcentral's name for it is "bacterial SSU rRNA". It matches the Rfam family "Bacterial small subunit ribosomal RNA", at positions 1 to 771 of the family's 1533-position model. The record is from RNAcentral.